RNAcentral lists this ribosomal RNA (253 nucleotides) under uncultured bacterium. RNAcentral's name for it is "partial 16S ribosomal RNA". It matches the Rfam family "Bacterial small subunit ribosomal RNA", at positions 524 to 776 of the family's 1533-position model. The record is from RNAcentral.
UACAGAGGUCCCAAGCGUUGUUCGGAUUCACUGGGCGUAAAGGGUGCGUAGGUGGUGAGGUAAGUCGGAUGUGAAAUCUCCGGGCUCAACCCGGAAACUGCAUUGGAAACUACCUUGCUUGAGGAUUUGAGGGGGGAUUGGAAUACUUGGUGUAGCAGUGAAAUGCGUAGAUAUCAAGUGGAACACCAGUGGCGAAGGCGAAUCCCUGGAAAAUACCUGACACUGAGGCACGAAAGCUAGGGGAGCAAACGGG